RNAcentral lists this ribosomal RNA (496 nucleotides) under uncultured bacterium. Its description in RNAcentral is "partial 16S ribosomal RNA". It matches the Rfam family "Bacterial small subunit ribosomal RNA", at positions 28 to 506 of the family's 1533-position model. The record is from RNAcentral.
GAUGAACGCUGGCGGCGUGCCUAAUACAUGCAAGUCGAGCGAACAGACGAGGAGCUUGCUCCUCUGACGUUAGCGGCGGACGGGUGAGUAACACGUGGAUAACCUACCUAUAAGACUGGGAUAACUUCGGGAAACCGGAGCUAAUACCGGAUAAUAUAUUGAACCGCAUGGUUCAAUAGUGAAAGACGGUUUUGCUGUCACUUAUAGAUGGAUCCGCGCCGCAUUAGCUAGUUGGUAAGGUAACGGCUUACCAAGGCAACGAUGCGUAGCCGACCUGAGAGGGGGAUCGGCCACACAGAAACUGAGACACGGGCCAGACUCCUACGGGAGGCAGCAGGAGGGAAUCUCCCGCAAGGGGCGAAAGCCUGCGGGAGCAACGCCGGGGGAGUGAUGAAGGUCUUCGGAUCGUAAAACUCUUUUAUUAGGGAAGAAAAAAUGUGAAAGUAACUAGGCCCGUCUGGACGGUACCUAACCAGAAAGCCACGGCUAACUACGU